GUCCUUCUGGAAAGGAAUGUUGACAAAGACAAAGUAAUCAGCUUCGGCAGUGACGGUGCCUCUGUGUGAGGGUGAAGUAACUGGUGAACAAUUAAAGGUGGAAACAAAGGAAACUGAUGAAGACUUGGCUGGCAUAUUGACCUUCCAGAGGACUUAAGCUUUUAAGGAACAUGAGGCAGGCCUUCAUGUUCCCCUGAGAGAUGCUACAGUUGCCUCUACUGUGAGACAGAUCAUGGAGUGCCUUAUAAAGGAGUUGUUUAUCCAAUAAAAGAGGACACAUCUUUGUAAAUGCCUGAGUUCACUCUAAAACCAUCCAUUGAUGAGAAUGGCAUAUAAGGGCUGUCGAUGUGACAGAGGUGUGUUGGUCUUCCUCCUCCUCUCUCUGUUGAAUGGGAUCUACAGAUGAAACGCCAAACAAAACAAAGAACCAACAUUUUGCUUGUAUAUAUUUUUGUUGUUUUUGUUUGUUUACUUUAUAAAUAAAACAUGUACA
Long non-coding RNA from Acipenser ruthenus (sterlet), 493 nucleotides. RefSeq lists it as uncharacterized. The record is from RefSeq and is a predicted model, not a curated record. Lineage: Eukaryota; Metazoa; Chordata; Actinopteri; Acipenseriformes; Acipenseridae. The transcript is spliced from 4 exons.